ACGGCUCAGUAACACGUAGUCAACCUGCCCUGGAGACAUGUACAACCCCGGGAAACUGGGAUUAAUUCGUGAUAGGUCAUGUCAUCUGGAAGGAGAGAUGGCUUAAAGGGGUACACAGGCUUCUUCUGUGAAUCCGCUCCAGGAUGGGACUGCGUCCGAUCAGGCUGUUGGCGGGGUAAUGGCCCACCAAACCUGUAACCGGUACGGGCUUUGAGAGAAGUAGCCCGGAGAUGGACACUGAGAGAAGGGUCCAGGUCCUACGGGGCGCAGCAGGCGCGAAACCUUCGCAAUGCGCGAAAGCGUGACGAGGUUAAUCCGAGUGGCCCCCGCUGAGGGGGUCUUUUGUCAGCUGUAAAUAGGCAGGCGAAUAAGGGGAGGGCAAGCCUGGUGUCCCCCGCCGCGGUAAUACCAGCUCCUCGAGUGGUCGGGGCGAUUAUUGGGCCUAAAGCAUCCGUAGCCGGUUCCGUAGGUCCUCUGUUAAAUCCAACCGCUUAACGGUUGACCUGCAGAGGAUACCGCGGGACUAGGAGGCGGGAGAGGCGGACGGUACUCCGCCGUGA
This 560-nucleotide ribosomal RNA is filed under the name uncultured crenarchaeote. Its description in RNAcentral is "bacterial SSU rRNA". It matches the Rfam family "Archaeal small subunit ribosomal RNA", at positions 85 to 628 of the family's 1478-position model. Lineage: Archaea; Thermoproteati; Thermoproteota. The record is from RNAcentral.